CCUACGGGAGACUGCAGUGGGGGAUAUUGGACAAUGGGCGGAAGCCUGAUCCAGCGACGCCGCGUGAGGGAAGAAGGAUUUCGGUAUGUAAAGCUCUUUUAGCAGGGAAGAAAGAAGUGACGGUACCUGACGAAGAAGCCUCGGCUAACUACGUGCCAGCAGCCGCGGUAAUACGUAGGCGGCAAGCGUUAUCCGGAUUUACUGGGUGUAAGGGGAGCGUAGGCGGUUAUGUAAGUCUGGAGUGAAAGUCCGGGGCCCAACCCCGGGCCUGCUCUUGAAACUGUUGAACUUGAGUGCAGGAGAGGUAAGCGGAAUGCCUGGUGUAGCGGUGAAAUGCGUAGAUAUUAGGAGGAACACCGGUGGCGAAGGCGGCUUACUGGACUGUAACUGACGUUGAGGCACGAAAGCGUGGGGAGCAAACAGGAUUAGAUACCCCGGUAGUC
This 443-nucleotide ribosomal RNA is filed under the name uncultured bacterium. RNAcentral's name for it is "partial 16S ribosomal RNA". It matches the Rfam family "Bacterial small subunit ribosomal RNA", at positions 338 to 795 of the family's 1533-position model. The record is from RNAcentral.